ACGGGGUGCAGCAGGCGCGAAAACUUCACACUGGAGGCAACUCCGAUGAGGGAAUUCCUAGUGCUAGCACAUUAGUGUUAGCUUUUCUUAAGCGUAGAUAACUUAAGGAAUAAGGGCUGGGUAAGACGGGUGCCAGCCGCCGCGGCAAUACCCGCAGCCCAAGUGGUGGUCGAUUUUAUUGAGUCUAAAACGUUCGUAGCCGGUUUGGUAAAUCCUUGGGUAAAUCGAGAGACUUAACCUUUCGAAUUCCGAGGAGACUGCCAAACUUGGGACCGGGAGAGGCGAGAGGUACUUCUGGGGUAGGGGUAAAAUCCUGUAAUCCUAGAAGGACCGCCGGUGGCGAAGGCGUCUCGCUAGAACGGAUCCGACGGUGAGGGACGAAGCCCUGGGUCGCAAACGGGAUUAGAUACCCCGGUAGUCCAGGGUGUAAACGCUGCAGACUUGGUUGUUGGGGGCCCUACGGGGGCGUUUCAGUGCCCGGAGAGAAGUUGUUAAGUCUGCUAACUUGGGGGAGUACGUCCGGCAAGGAUGAACUUAAAGGAAUUGGCGGGGGGAGCAC
This 559-nucleotide ribosomal RNA is filed under the name uncultured archaeon. RNAcentral describes it as "bacterial SSU rRNA". It matches the Rfam family "Archaeal small subunit ribosomal RNA", at positions 325 to 879 of the family's 1478-position model. The record is from RNAcentral.